Corvus hawaiiensis (hawaiian crow) is the source of this 285-nucleotide long non-coding RNA. RefSeq lists it as uncharacterized. The transcript has 3 exons. NCBI's taxonomy places the organism in Eukaryota, Metazoa, Chordata, Aves, Passeriformes, Corvidae. The record is from RefSeq and is a predicted model, not a curated record.
GGAACUGCUCAGCAGGUGGAAAUAAACAAGCUCCUGCAAGACCUGGCAAGUGAGCGGGAAAGGCACCAUGCAGAGAUGCAGGAGACGCUGCAGCAAUGGGGAAAAGAGAAGGCAGAGAGAGAGCAGGAGCACGAGAAGGUGCUGUUUGAGAUGAGGCAGAAAGUUGCCACCCUGCAGGCUCAAAGAGAAGAGGAACGAACUAGAUUUGAAAAUGCCAAGCGAGAGGUCCUGCUGGAAAAGCAGAAGGAGAAGAAUUCUUUAUCAAAGACACUGCUCCAAACUCAG